Gavialis gangeticus (Gharial) is the source of this 635-nucleotide long non-coding RNA. RefSeq lists it as uncharacterized. The record is from RefSeq and is a predicted model, not a curated record. NCBI's taxonomy places the organism in Eukaryota, Metazoa, Chordata, Crocodylia, Gavialidae. The transcript is spliced from 2 exons.
GCCAAUCAUUCAUCAGAGCUCUCCAAACAGCACAGGAAACAAACAGCUGGCAGGAGACCAGACUUCUCAGUCCUUCAGGGAACUGGAAGGAGCAGCAUUGGCUGGUUCUGUUUGGUGGCAACCUGUUUCACUUCAGUUGUACCCUCAAGGGCUUUGCUUUGGAAGUCAAGUGGUUUGGAGACAGCCGUUCCCCUAGGGAAGGUCAUUGGACCCUUUGCAGGAGAACUGAGUUCCACCUCUGAAUAGGCCUUGCCACAAAGCCAUGUAGGUAUUGCAGUGGGGGAAGGGACUCCUACCAGUGGGUUGAAGUUUCUUGUCUCUCUCUGCCAUGGAGCACAAAGGGCUCUGGAAGACACUGGAGUACACCUGCAGACUGCUGGGGAUCUCCACAGCAGCAGGGGAUAGACUAGAUGGCCUCCAGAAGUCCCUUCCAGCCCUACUUUUUCAUUAUUGUAUGAUUCUCUGAAGCUGGCUAUGAGAUACUCCUUGUCCAAGCCAAGAGGAAAACAUAUAGCAAGCACCUCAAGAAAGCAGAGCCCAGCCACAGGGCUGAUUGUUGUGAAAAGCCAAGCCCAGGUUGAGGCUGGAUACAAAGCCCUGAAAUAUUCUCACAGCAGUGAACAAAGGUGCCAGUG